UCCCUGGUGGUCCAGUGGGUAAGACUGUACUUCCAAUGUAGGGAGCCCAGGUUAGAUCCCUGGUCAGGGAA
RNAcentral lists this transfer RNA (71 nucleotides) under Bos taurus (domestic cattle). It matches the Rfam family "tRNA". Rfam says of the family: Transfer RNA (tRNA) molecules are approximately 80 nucleotides in length. RNAcentral also lists the same sequence under 4 other names. The record is from Rfam by way of RNAcentral. Lineage: Eukaryota; Metazoa; Chordata; Mammalia; Artiodactyla; Bovidae.